RNAcentral lists this ribosomal RNA (382 nucleotides) under uncultured eukaryote. Its description in RNAcentral is "partial 18S ribosomal RNA". It matches the Rfam family "Eukaryotic small subunit ribosomal RNA", at positions 592 to 976 of the family's 1831-position model. The record is from RNAcentral.
UGUAAGCGUAUACCAAAGUUGUUGCAGUUAAAACGCUCGUAGUCGGAAUUUGGCAGUUCCGGAUGUGUGCACGUCGUGUGCGCACUUCGCGGGGAUUGCUUUUGUGGUCUUGCGUAGGAUGAGGCACUUUUAUUAGUGAACGUCCUCACGCAACCACUUUUUACAGUGAGAAAAUCAGAGUGCUCAAAGCAGGCAUUUGCCGUGAAUGUAUUAGCAUGGAAUAAUAGAAUAGGACUUGGUUCUAUUUUGUUGGUUUGUUGGGACUGAGUAAUGAUUAAGAGGGACAGUUGGGGGCAUUUGUAUUUCGGUGCUAGAGGUGAAAUUCUUAGAUUACCGAAAGACAAACUGCUGCGAAAGCGUCUGCCAAGGAUGUUUUCAUUGA